UUUAACACUGCUUAUGCUCAACGUUUGACUGUUCGUCUUAUUAGAUGAUAAUACAUGAAUAUUAUUUUAUGUGUGACUAAUAUUAUUAAUUUUUUUCAUAAUAUUUUUAAAUAAGACGGACGGUCAAAACACUGGACAUGGAUAUCUAUGGCUGCACUUAUU
Molecule: non-coding RNA, 162 nt
Organism: Oryza nivara
Lineage: Eukaryota; Viridiplantae; Streptophyta; Magnoliopsida; Poales; Poaceae
Source: Rfam